AUCAAAAACAUCACCUCUAGCAUAACUAGUAUUAGAGGCACUGCCUGCCCAGUGACUUAAUCGUUAAACGGCCGCGGUAUUUUGACCGUGCAAAGGUAGCAUAAUCACUUGUUCUCUAAAUAAGGACUUGUAUGAAUGGCCACACGAGGGUUUUACUGUCUCUUACUUUUAAUCAGUGAAAUUGACCUCCCCGUGAAGAGGCGGGGAUAAUAAAAUAAGACGAGAAGACCCUAUGGAGCUUUAAUUAAUCAACCCAAAAAUCACAAAACAGUACCACCUAAGGGAUAACAAAAUUUUAUAUGGGUUGACAAUUUCGGUUGGGGUGACCUCGGAGCACAAAAAACCCUCCGAGUGAUUAAAACCUAGGCCUACUGGCCAAAGUGUAGUAUCACUUAUUGAUCCAAGUUUUUGAUCAACGGAACAAGUUACCCUAGGGAUAACAGCGCAAUCCUAUUCUAGAGUCCAUAUCGACAAUAGGGUUUACGACCUCGAUGUUGGAUCAGGACAUCCUAAUGGUGCAGCAGCUAUUAAGGGUUCGUUUGUUCAACGAUUAAAGUCCUACGUGAUCUGAGUU
This 574-nucleotide ribosomal RNA is filed under the name Neophocaena phocaenoides (Indo-Pacific finless porpoise). RNAcentral's name for it is "partial 16S ribosomal RNA". It matches the Rfam family "Bacterial large subunit ribosomal RNA", at positions 1806 to 2611 of the family's 2925-position model. The record is from RNAcentral. Lineage: Eukaryota; Metazoa; Chordata; Mammalia; Artiodactyla; Phocoenidae.